UACGUAGGGUGCGAGCGUUGUCCGGAAUUAUUGGGCGUAAAGGGCUCGUAGGCGGUUUGUCGCGUCGGGAGUGAAAACCCAGGGCUUAACUCUGGGCUUGCUUUCGAUACGGGCAGGCUAGAGUUCGGUAGGGGAGACUGGAAUUCCUGGUGUAGCGGUGAAAUGCGCAGAUAUCAGGAGGAACACCGGUGGCGAAGGCGGUUCUCUGGGCAUUACCUGACGCUGAGGAGCGAAAGUGUGGGGAGCGAACAGG
This 253-nucleotide ribosomal RNA is filed under the name uncultured bacterium. Its description in RNAcentral is "partial 16S ribosomal RNA". It matches the Rfam family "Bacterial small subunit ribosomal RNA", at positions 524 to 776 of the family's 1533-position model. The record is from RNAcentral.